CCUACGGGGGGCUGCAGUGAGGAAUAUUGGUCAAUGGGCGUAAGCCUGAACCAGCCAAGUCGCGUGAGGGAUGAAGGUUCUAUGGAUCGUAAACCUCUUUUAUAAGGGAAUAAAGUGCGGGACGUGUCCCGUUUUGUAUGUACCUUAUGAAUAAGGAUCGGCUAACUCCGUGCCAGCCGCCGCGGUAAUACGGAGGGUCCGAGCGUUAUCCGGAUUUAUUGGGUUUAAAGGGUGCGUAGGCGGCCUUUUAAGUCAGCGGUGAAAGUCUGUGGCUCAACCAUAGACUUGCCGUUGAAACUGGGGGGCUUGAGUGUGUGUGAGGCAGGCGGAAUGCGUGGUGUAGCGGUGAAAUGCUUAGAUAUCACGCAGAACCCCGAUUGCGAAGGCAGCCUGCCGAGGCAUGACUGACGCUGAUGCACGAAAGCGUGGGGAUCGAACAGGAUUAGAUACCCUUGUAGUC
Molecule: ribosomal RNA, 460 nt
Filed under: uncultured bacterium
Lineage: Bacteria
Description: partial 16S ribosomal RNA
Rfam family: Bacterial small subunit ribosomal RNA
Source: RNAcentral